UGCGCCACCCAGGCGCCCCCAGGUGAUGCUACUUUUACGCUAGGUCACCACAGCUACAUUCUGAACAUCACUGAGCCUCAGGAGUCCUUACUUAUAGAACAGAAAAUAUGGACUCGCUACCUUGCAGGAUGAUUGUGGAGAUAAAAUGAAAUCGGGUAAUUUCAGGAAGAUUUGUUCCAGCUAAUCUGUAGACAAGGAAACUGAAGUUUAAAGAGAAAAUGUAUCCUUGGUCUUUGAAAACCCUGUGAUCCUGCCCCCAAGGAGACGGACCCAAUCUUAGGGGGUUCCUCUGAUUGUCAUCUAAGAUUCUAGCAGGCUGUCGCCCACCGCCUGGCUCGCUGUUACUGACAAUCGCUACCUCGGAAAGUCUUCUCUGGGAAAACGGCAUUUGGGAAGAGGCGUUAAGGGAAUUGCGGAAGACAAGCCCUGGGGAUGAUAACCACAGGAGGAGUGUUCCAAAAGGAUCAGCACAUACCAGGCUCGGAAGCAGGUGCAUGCUAAGACCUGGAGCGACAGCAGGUCCCAGAUGAGGGAAAACAUCUCCAACAACAAGUCUUCCAUUUACCUAUUGGCCAGCACUGUUGGUUCUUAUCCAAAUACAUUUUUAGGCUCAACUGGGAUCAAAUAUUCAUUUCCAUUUAAGGCAACGGGGAGCCACACAUGUGAGAAAACAACAUGAAAGCCAGCCUGGACCCCAAAAUACAAGGCCCCAUGUAAGAGAGAAUCAGGAAGACAUAAUAAAGAAUCAGAGUGUUUCAACAGUGGAAACUGGGCUAAACGAUGGAAGGUGUGCUCUGUAUUUUCCAAAGCACCCUUGUUGGCAAACACGGAGAGAAGUUUGAGAGUGAACAGCUGUCACCAGGGCCCCAGGCAACGCUGCAGAGAAGGUCAAGCUUGCAUUUUGCAUUCCAACCUGCCUCUUUCUUUCUGAGUCCACUUUUCACCCCAGUUAUUGGACUCUAGCUAUUGAAUUUCCUCGUGCUGUCAUUUGGCUUCUAAAUCUUUCCCCUCCCUGACUGUUCUACUGCUCUGCACAGAGAUUUAUCUUGUUUCCUUCUCAUUCAGCUAGAGUUCCAAUCCCCCGGGUUCUCAUGGUAGCCCAAGUGAUUAAAAACACUUCUAUCAAAGUUUCAAUAAGGCCUAAAGAGCUUUUGCAGUUUGAAAAAAAUGGUCCAGUGUCUUACCUGGUCUUCUAGGACCUUAAAUGCAUGGAAUUAAAAUUGAGAUCUCAGAUACGUUCUUUUUGCAUGCACACAUGCACAGAGCACACCAUUCCACACUCCCUCCCCCCCCCCCCAUUUCCCUGGAAGGUUACCCUGCAAGGUAAGAGGCAGCAAACAAAACCUUACGUUGGUAGAAAUCCUAACUGAGCAGCCUCACUCAUAUCCUGAUAUUCACGGGUUUGCAGGGAUAAUCUUUGGUAUUUUUCUAAC
Prionailurus viverrinus (fishing cat) is the source of this 1433-nucleotide long non-coding RNA. RefSeq lists it as uncharacterized. The transcript has 6 exons. The record is from RefSeq and is a predicted model, not a curated record. Lineage: Eukaryota; Metazoa; Chordata; Mammalia; Carnivora; Felidae.